Molecule: long non-coding RNA, 300 nt
Organism: Oreochromis niloticus (Nile tilapia)
Lineage: Eukaryota; Metazoa; Chordata; Actinopteri; Cichliformes; Cichlidae
Exons: 4
Source: RefSeq, a predicted model, not a curated record
AAAAGCACUCUGUGUGGGGAACAUGAGAGCCAGACCAAAGCUCAGAGGAACCCACCUGGACCUCCACCCAGCUCUGUUUCCUUACAGAGUGACUGGUCUGCAGAUCGCCCCAUUAAUUUUAAAGUCUCUGCUGCAGAGAGAGGUCAGAGGUCACAGUCUGCAGGGUCCAGCUGUCCGUCUGUGAGGAGUGACUGGUCCAAAGAUGAUCCUCCAGACUUCAGUGGUGAACCUGGACCAACGAGAGUGGACCAGCAGAGCUCAGAGGUUCCCAGUGGUCAGUCUGCCCAGCAGCAUCAAACA